RNAcentral lists this ribosomal RNA (468 nucleotides) under uncultured bacterium. RNAcentral's name for it is "partial 16S ribosomal RNA". The stretch from base 21 to 331 matches the Rfam family "Bacterial small subunit ribosomal RNA", at positions 48 to 357 of the family's 1533-position model. The record is from RNAcentral.
GACGAACGCUGGCGGCGUGCUUAACACAUGCCAGUCGAACGGAAAGGCCCUGCUUUUGUGGGGUGCUCGAGUGGCGAACGGGUGAGUAACACGUGAGUAACCUGCCCUUGACUUUGGGAUAACUUCAGGAAACUGGGGCUAAUACCGGAUAGGAGCUCCUGCUGCAUGGUGGGGGUUGGAAAGUUUCGGCGGUUGGGGAUGGACUCGCGGCUUAUCAGCUUGUUGGUGGGGUAGUGGCUUACCAAGGCUUUGACGGGUAGCCGGCCUGAGAGGGUGACCGGGGCAAGUGGGACUGAGAUGAGGCAAAGGCGCGGACGCGAGGCAGCAGGGGCGAAGGGUGCGAGAGGGGCUGAGGUGUGAUGAAGCACUGGCGUGUGGGGGAGGACGGAAUGGGGGGGGAAAAAAGAUUUAGCAUGGGACGAAGCGGGAGUGACGGUAAUGGGGAAAGAAGCAACGGCUAAGUACGUG